UACCAGGUAUUUUGUUUUAAACUGCAAAUACCCCCGUCGAUGUGGCUGGUCGUCAUAGCGACGCCGCCGAAACUGCCGUGACGUCAUCUGCAACGCGACACACAGGAACAAUGGAGGAUAUUGAAGGGAUGGUGUUCUUGAUUCUCGGUAUGUGGCUGUUUGUCACAACGAGGAGACACAUUUUGUUUCAGAAGAGGCUGAAGGCAGUAAGACAAAAGACUGCUGAAAAAAACAGGAGAGUUUGGGAAAUCUUACAUCAGAGUUCAGACGACGAGACGACUCUGGUUUCUCAAAGGCGACGCAAGAUGAUCUUUCACUAUUUGCAAAGUCGCCGCCGCCGACCGUCUGUUUGGGCGUUCAACCGAGCUACCGAGUGGUGGGAUGUGAUUGUUCCCGGCUUCACUAACACUCAGUGGCUGCAGAACUUCAGAAUGUCCGAGGAAACAUUUAUCUACCUGUGCAACAAACUGCGUCCAGUGAUGGAGAGACAGGACACAAACUUCCGCGGGUGUGUACCUCUAAAGAAGAGAGUGGCCAUCGCACUGUGGAAGCUUGCGACCGGCUCCGAGUACAGAAGCGUCGGCCAUCUUUUCGGAGUAAGCAUAACAACUGUGUGCCGGUGUGUGCAAGAGUUCAGUGCUGCUGCAGAGACGUUGUUGGUACCGGAACAAAUUCGUUUCCCAGACCAGGAGAAGUUUGAAGAAAUGGCUGCCUACAUUGAGAACAUGUGGGGGCUCCCACAGUGUAUUGGUGCUAUUGAUGGAUCACACAUACCCAUCUUGGCACCACAGGAGUACCACUGUGACUAUUUAAACCGUAAUGGGUGGCACUCCAUCAUCCUUCAAGGUGUUGUAGAUGGAAAGGGACUUUUCUGGAAUGUGUUUGCAGGACUGCCUGGGAGCUUGGAUGAUGCUCAGGUUCUGAGACUGUCCACAUUGUGGGAUUUGGCCAGCCGUGGCAACCACUUUCCAGCUUACACCAGGAACAUUGGUGGGGUGAAUAUUGGUUACUACAUCCUAGGAGACUCUGCCUAUCCCUUGCAGAACUGGCUCUUAACACCAUUCCCUGACACUGGACAGCUGACAGCAGAACAGCAGAUCUACAAUAAGAAAAUCUGCAGAGCACGAGUAGUGGUUGAAAAUGCUUUUGGUAGACUGAAGGGAAGGUGGCGUUGCCUCAUGAAAAGGAAUGACUGUGAUGUCAAACUGGUGAAAUCUAUGGUGCUGACUUGCUGUGCUCUGCAUAACCUUUGCGAGAGUCAGGGAGAGGCCUAUGACAAUGAGUGGGAUGCACCUGCAGCAGCAGCAGCAGCAGCAGAGCCUGUGGUGGCACUGUUAGAGGGUGUAGAGGAGGAGGGCAGGGAUGUACGAGAGGGUCUGAUGCACUACUUGAAUAGCUAAAUAUUAAUUUUGUCUUUCCUGUCAUGUGUAUUUAACAUGUUGUAAAUUGUAUUGAACAUAAAUCUUUUGUACUAUCUUUCCACAUAUAAAUGUACCCCCAUGUUUUUGUCAAACUGUUUUUUUUUUAAAGGUUAUCAGGAUUUACUAUUUGUUAAAUUAAAUGCUAAAGCCCUUGAAAUAGGAAACCAUCAUGAAAAUGCAUGUGUAACAAGUAACAAAACAGUUUAUUUAACAAACAAUGCAAAUAAAAAAGCAAACUAUAUACAUAAAUAGAACAAUGUAAAUUUUCAAAUGCAAACAAAUCAGAGCAACACGGCAAACUAUGUACAUGAGUUAAAUGUUAUAUGUAUAUAUGUUAUAUGCAAAUACAAAUGAGUGCAAAGUACAAACUAUAUACAUAAGGCAUGAGGGCUCUAGUCCAGGGGUGGAGGAACCGGGUCUAGUCCAGGGGCGGAGCCGCCGGGUCUAGUCCAGGGGCGGAGGAACCCGCUCUAGUCCAGGGGCGGAGGAA
Anguilla rostrata (American eel) is the source of this 1911-nucleotide long non-coding RNA. RefSeq lists it as uncharacterized. Lineage: Eukaryota; Metazoa; Chordata; Actinopteri; Anguilliformes; Anguillidae. The transcript has 3 exons. The record is from RefSeq and is a predicted model, not a curated record.